Drosophila sulfurigaster albostrigata is the source of this 1353-nucleotide long non-coding RNA. RefSeq lists it as uncharacterized. NCBI's taxonomy places the organism in Eukaryota, Metazoa, Arthropoda, Insecta, Diptera, Drosophilidae. The record is from RefSeq and is a predicted model, not a curated record. The transcript is spliced from 5 exons.
UUUUUUCUGAUAAACAAAAAGCAUAACUUCCUUAAUCAUGCCAUCAAUGUGUUUCAACCUCUAUAAAUUUACCGAAACGGCGAUUGGACAAUUUUCGAUUUACUUUCGCUCAAUUGGUAAUUUGGCUAGGGCCAAUGCCUUAACACUUCCGUUUGAAGUCAACGCUUUCUUUUUGCCAAUUGUUUUGCCUUUGUUUAUGAUUUAUGGCCUGACCAUUUGUCAAACGAAAUCAUAUUUUUACACCACGUUCUGCUUGACAGCGUUGGCGUUAGCGUCUACGCCGCAGUUAGCGUCAACGUCGCAGCAGGCCAAAGCCCGAUUAAAAGACGCCAAAUGCGACACGAGGCAAAGCAACUGGACAGUGGCACAGUUGCAAGUUUUAAGUUGGCAACAAGUUGUGAACGCGAAAGUAAAGCAACAUGCAAAAAAGAAAACGAUGGAGGAAAAUUCAAAGCAAAACACGAGAAACGCCAAUUAAAAGGAAAAGCGAAAAUAAAUGUGUGUGUGUGUGUGGAAAAUCGAGCAAUGUGCAGCAAGAGAAACGAGCAAAAUAAAUGCGUUCAAUGCACCCAGGUGAGCUUACUGGAAAAAGGCAGUAAUGGGCGUGGCGCUAGCUUAUUGCCUAGUUGAAGAUAGAGGGAAGAAAGAGGCGACAAUGAAAGAGGCUUCAACUGUCGGUUGCCUGCCUUCUGUCUCCGUCUCUCUCACUCUCUCUAUGUCUGCCCACCUCUACUUUUUUGUUUCCCCCCAUCGUGACUCAUGCUGCAAACGGGCAACAAGCAAACGCUUUGCAUACAGAAAACGUUAAAAGUAUAUACCUCAAAACUUGGUAACUACCAACUGCCAACAUGUAAUUUCUGUUGUUGCGGAAGUCGUAGGUGCAACAUACCAAUAAGAAACUAUUUACGGAAAGCUUCAGAGGAUUGUCAACGAUCUACAAUAAAUGCCGGAAGAAAUUACAGGACACCUAAGAACUUUAACAAGACUUUCUAAUAAAUUAAAAGUUGUUACACCCGCUACCUAUAGCGAAGAAGGAUCUACAUCCAACAAUGGCCGGAAGACUUCUCACUCAAUGGAAAGAUAUUUAUCGAAUAAAUGCCGGAAAUCUCAUAAAUGCUGAAACAUUUCAGGAGACAUCAAAUGUGGAAAUAUUUGUUAAGUUUCUCGUUUAGAUCUCCAGCAAUUGCCAUGGAACUAACGUAAAUUAUAAUAAAGAUUUUUGCUAACCAUAUGAAAAUAACUGUACAGAGAAUGCAAAGUGGGAAGUUAUCGAAAGACUUUUGAUACAUAGAGGACUGACUUGCGUGGUAUCGAAGCAAACCUCAGAAGAAUGCAGUGCCUCCAAAUUAACAU